ACGCUGGCGGCGUGCCUAAUACAUGCAAGUUGAGCGCUGAAGGUUGGUACUUGUACCGACUGGAUGAGCAGCGAACGGGUGAGUAACGCGUGGGGAAUCUGCCUUUGAGCGGGGGACAACAUUUGGAAACGAAUGCUAAUACCGCAUAAAAACUUUAAACACAAGUUUUAAGUUUGAAAGAUGCAAUUGCAUCACUCAAAGAUGAUCCCGCGUUGUAUUAGCUAGUUGGUGAGGUAAAGGCUCACCAAGGCGAUGAUACAUAGCCGACCUGAGAGGGUGAUCGGCCACAUUGGGACUGAGACACGGCCCAAACUCCUACGGGAGGCAGCAGUAGGGAAUCUUCGGCAAUGGACGAAAGUCUGACCGAGCAACGCCGCGUGAGUGAAGAAGGUUUUCGGAUCGUAAAACUCUGUUGGUAGAGAAGAACGUUGGUGAGAGUGGAAAGCUCAUCAAGUGACGGUAACUACCCAGAAAGGGACGGCUAACUACGUG
RNAcentral lists this ribosomal RNA (492 nucleotides) under uncultured bacterium. RNAcentral describes it as "bacterial SSU rRNA". It matches the Rfam family "Bacterial small subunit ribosomal RNA", at positions 33 to 507 of the family's 1533-position model. The record is from RNAcentral.